UAUUGAAAUUGAUACAAUUCCACAAAAUGUUCUGAAUUCAAUGAAAAUUUAAAAAAGCACCCAAAUGAUUUAGGCCCUUUACAUCUCAUUUUCAAAAGAGAUUUAGGCAACUGGGCAUCUGUCUCCUAAACUAAAUACAUGAAUACUGAAAUGAAAUUACAUUUAUGACAAACAAUACAUUGUACCAGCUGCAUUAGUAUUUUAUGGUUGACAAUCAGUUACAAAUAAACAACAUUUCAGUAGUGGCCACCAACCCUAAGGGCCUCAGUUUUUUGGGUGGCAAACUUACCUUCUCAAGUUGAACACUCAAUUGAGAUUCUCAAAAUCACAGGCCAUUUUUGAAAAUGUGAUUGCAAGGACCUCAUGUAAGUAUAUAUCCUAACAGACUCUAAAUGAUUUCAAUAAGUACGUCGUCUAAAUUAAAGAGGACUUUAGGAUCAAGGUUCCAUCUAAACAAACUAUUUUACUGAAUUCUUUUCUGCUAUUCCUCCUUAAUGAACUGCACUGGUUAGCAAUUACACAAUAUUGUGACGACUGGAUUACCUAUAAACAAUUCUUCCAAGCAACCUCAUUUAACAUUUAUAAAUCUUUGCUUUUAGAAAGGAUUGUUUUAUUACCAUAAGUACACAAGGAACAGACUGACCUAAACCAGAAGCCAGGUGACAGCUGCUUUCAAAAUUCUAAUCUGCUUAUUGAUACAAAAGGAGAAAGGGAAUAAAUGAGUGAUUUCUGUUGAGUCCUAUGACAGCUCUACAUAUAUCUUACAAAUUCUCCCAAUUUUUAUAGCUAGAAGCCAAUUAGUUUGAUUUCAUACCUAAAAAGUAGUAUAAGGAGGGGCAAAUAAGAAUCCAUUGUACUGUAUUAUCAUAAGGCACAUUUUAAAAAUCACUUCACACACUUCUUGCUUAGUCUCUCUCUUGCUUUCUUUCUAGCAAAUAAUUUUAAAAAAUAAAUUCAAAUCUAUUUAGCAAUACACAUUCAAGAAAUAUGAAGAAAUAGCAAGGCAUAGUAAAUUUCAGCUGUUCUUUCAUUGCUGGUAUUAUCAAUAACAAUGAUCUCAUACAUUGUAACAGCUGUGCAGAUGAGAGAGAACCUGUUUAAUUUAACAAUUCAAACAAAUGGACUUCAGUCAGAAAACCCUGAGGGGAUAAAAAGUCUUCUGUUUUCCUAUAAGUGACUUUAGAACCACAUUGAAACACCUUAAUAAUAUUAAAGUAGUGUCAGAGGCAUGUUAAUCAUAGUUUGUCCAGUUUUAGGGUGUUUCUUCCAGUCCUAUGAUGGAGGGUUGCCACAUGAACAAAUCAAAAGAACAAUGAUCUGUUCUUGACUCACAGUGACAUGGAAUGUGAGAAGAAAGAAGGGCACAAUGGAAUGGAUGGCCAGAAAUUCCACUGCAUGCAAGAAUGUCUCCUUUCCAAACAGAGGUGCUGGGAUGUUCAGCCAAAUGAGGGGUCUGACUGUCUGCAUAUUACAUGGUGACUUUAUGAAGAUCAGAAUGCAAUAAGUAAUGAUAAAUUUAGUUUUGAAAACCUGAUUAAUAUAGUACCUUUGAACUUUUCCCAUUUUCUGCAGAAACAGAUGCAUUGUAUAUACAGCACUGAAAAAGUCCUGCUAAUUUCGCAGCCAAAUAUCCCUUACCGAAGAGUAUCCUACACUAUUAUAGCCUGGGCACUCUUACACUGGAAAGUGGUACUAGGCACUGUUCUCUCAAAUACUUAGUGUCAAUCUGGAAUUAUCCUGGGAGUCUCCUUAGAUAUAUGAUGAUGAAGACUAAGUGUUUGACUUUUUUGAAUAUGGGAAAGUUCAUAUCCCUGACUACCUUAAAGCUGUUGCUACUUGCCUCCAAACACACUGAAGAUUUAAGAAAACAAAACAGUGUGAUCUCAUUUAUGAUGAAUUUAUAUUUUCAGUCAGAGGCCAAAUUGCAGUAACUAUAGAUUUGAGGCAUCCUUUCUACAAACAACUAAUUAAACAAGGUUCACUACAUUUCCUACUUUAAGAUUACAUUUCCUUUGGUAAAAUUCAACAAAUGAAUGUGUAUUUAGAUGUGUAAUGUAACAGAUAAUACAGAUGAGGAAAAAGACCCAUCUAAAUAUAAACCAAAAUAAUAUAUUUUUAAUUUAGAUUUUAAUCCCUAAUUGAGCCAGUAGUCCAGAACUAUGAACAUUUUUGAAGCUCUACACAAUGAAAAUAUGAUGGCUACAAAGUGUAAUAAUAAGUACCUGUGCCAUGUAAACUAUGUACAAAACAAGGGGAAAAUAAACUACCACCUGCUGGUUACUAGAGAGGCCAGUUUCUGCUUCUCCUUUCUUGGACGUGCAAACUGCUGAACAGACAUUUCCUUGUUUUAUGCAAUCUGCAUAGAUAGGCCUGUAAAGCUAGUCUGACCACAAGAGAUUAAUAGCUUUAGCCAAAUAAUGUGGUAACCAUGUGAACCAUGAGCUGCUCUAGCUUGUUUGUGAGCCUCUCAGCAAGGUUCAACAUGCCGCUAUCUGCAUCUUGUUGCCAGGAAACACAACAUCGCUCUGGAAUACAGGAAAAGUCAGGUUGCAGUGACCACAAGUGAACUCCAGGAAGACUCAUAACUGACCCCAAACAGUUCAUAUCCAAAGGAUUAGGAAGUUUCACUGACUAAGAAAUACUGUUUGUCAGAGAGCUUCCUCCUACACUACAACCCCUAAAAAGUAUUUUUCAGAUUCAUUAUUCAAAACUAGAAGUACCAAUGCUAAGUCCUUCACUUGAGCCAAGAGAGGGAGAUAUUUAAUCCAGCAGACUUACUUUUCAGUAGAAGGACUCAGGCAACAAUACACUGUCUACAGAGGAAGCUAUGACUUCAAAUAUGCAGUAUGACAUUCCUGUGUGAAAUUGCUAAAGCUGGAGAAUAGUGCUUUCAAAAGUUUUGAAUAAGAACAUUCACAGUCAAAUAGCUAAGUUAUCACCAAACAUUCUUUGCUAGGUGAAAUGUACACCAUUCUUAUAUUGAAUUGUUUAAUUUGAAAAUUUGUUUGGAACGUACUAAUGAAAAAUGUAGUUGGAAUGUAUGUGGUUAAUCUGUAUUCACAUUAACUGAGCAUUAUAAGUGAUUCAGGCAGGACUGACAACAGUGCUUUCAGUCUUUCUAUUGUCCUCUUUAAACAGCCAGAAAUGAGUAGUUCCUAAUGCAGAGACAAGUCUUUGAAUUCAGAAGUUGACCAGCCAGUGCUGAACAAUAGGUGUCAUACCAACAGUCGCUGCUGACCCUGUCAGUUCUAGAGAAUAUAAGCUUUCAUUUUUCAAAAGUUUCUCUGGCACAAAAACCCUGUAGAUGAUAAUCCAUGUGUGUCAGUCUUACUAAACUUGUAAACAGGCAUACAAUAAUUUCAGAUUUGGUCAGUGCCUAUGGAUUACAAAGGGAGUAUUACCAAUAACAUCAAUGGACAGCCCUACUGACUUCAAUGGGCAAUGGACCCUAGGAAAGGUAUGAAAUGACUCCGUUCGUGUAGGCUGUCCUGUUUCACUCAAGUCUGAUAAGUACCACCUUGAUCAUUUUAGCAGAGGUUUUCAGAUGUUCCAGCACUAUGAACUGAGUUUGGAAUUAGACAGAUGUUGAACAAGUAGAUCACCACCAUUCUUUUUCUCCCAACCUAGAAGUCCCUUAAAAAUAUGCUGUUCCCAGGUAUUGUUAUUUAUCACUAAGCUAAAAGGGAGAAUGUGCUACAUGCUGUAAAAGAAAAGACAAUCCCUACCCUGUAAAGUUCACAGUUUACAAGUAUGUUUUAAAGGGUUUGGUAGCGGUGUGUCUGCAGAAGAGUGGAAUAUUACUAGUAUUGGAACUUUAACACUUACCCAACUAGCUCAGAACAGGGAGACUGAAGGCAAUAUUACCAUAAAUGUCAAUAAAUACUGAUAUAUUAAAAAUAUCUGAAAAAAAUCUAGAUGUAUGGGAAAAUAGCAUUAAGUUUUAUUUUCCUUAAUUCCUUAACUGAGUGUACUUG
This is a non-coding RNA of Pelodiscus sinensis (Chinese soft-shelled turtle), 3974 nucleotides long. The record is from RefSeq and is a predicted model, not a curated record. NCBI's taxonomy places the organism in Eukaryota, Metazoa, Chordata, Testudines, Trionychidae.